GGAGGCCGGCGGGCGCAGGCGAAAUUCCGCAGGGAGCGAGGUGAGGAGCUAGCGGUUGGGGUCGGGUCUCCGGGCGCGUACUCCCCCCGCCGGUGAGGGUGAACUAACGGAGGUGGGCGGGCCGGCGCGCCGGGUUAGCAGGCGUUUAUCCUGUAUGGCCGCAGCAGUCAGCGCCCUUCACCAGCACGAGCCCCGCCUGCAGAGCCCUCGGCGGCAUCCAGCAGGAGGCCUCCCGCGGGAACUGUCACUCCGCCAAACAAGAGAGUUAAACAAGCAAAAGUCUAGAAACAAGCCAGCUGUCCAUCUACAGUGGAAAGCAUAAACAAAUUGUGAUGUGUUCACGUACUGGAGUUCUACCCUGGCGUGAAAAAUCCACGAGCCACAGCUGCAAGCAACAAUAUGGUAAAGUCUUUGUGAAAGACAUCAGUUGGCACCUCAGAGUUUGGAUUUCUCUGCAGGUGUGCUGGGGGCCUCAGCGUCCGUGUGCCUCAGCUGCCUGGGCUCAGUCUGUCCAGGAGGGAUUUGGAAAGGACCCACGCACCGCCCAACUGCCUUGCAAAGUGGCUGCACCACGUGCGUCCCCACCAGCGGUGAGCGUUCCGGCUGCCCCACAUCCUCGCCAGCAUUUGGUGUUGUCAGUGCUCUGGAUUUUGGCCAUUCUCAGAGUUUAAAUGUUACGGAAGCAACAUAAGAAAGAUGCUUCGUAGCAGCAGUCUUGCUGGGUGAAUACAAAUGAUAAGUAUUUUUAGAGGGGCCCGUUUCUCAACAGUACGACACCCUUCGUGCAGCUCUUUAUCCUUCAGGGAGCACUUGGAAACGCCUCGCUGGAGUCAUGGGUAGCCUGCCAGGGAGAUGCAGCCAGCACUCUCCGCACUGGCUCGCUCAAGCUCUGCCACCCCCGCACCAGCAAGGUGAGGGGCGACUGCAAUCCUGUGUCUAUUGCACACCGUUCCUGCUGCCUCCUGGGAUCUCGGGGACACGAAGUGAAUUGAUAUGUUUCUGAAAGCUUAGACUAGUGCCUGGCUCAUAGCAAACACGCCCUGAAUGUGAGCCAUGCUUAUUGUGAUUGAGGUGGGAAAAAUUAAAGUUCAUUACAUGCUAAAUAUCACUAGCACAAGAGUUUACUGCAAGACCACUGGAUGAUUUUUUAAAGGACCUCUUAAAAUUCUCCGGAAGAACUAAAAGUGUUGCAGUGUGGAUAACUGAAAUAAUCAAAAUGAGCCCACAAUUUCCCACGUGAACCUCGAGAUCCAAGCGACUCGGCCAGGGAUUCCCAGCUCUGAUGCUGUGAACAGUAAAAACCUCUCCACUUCCAUCAACCAAGAAACAGGCGUUUUCUGAAAGCCUUUAUGCCAGGCCCUGAGAAAACAGAAAAGUGUGACCCAGGUCCCCGGCCUUGGAGAAGACAAGCAAGGGCUGGGGAAUGCUGAGUGAGGGGGACAUCUGGGGAAAGGGAAGGAGAGACUCAAGGUCAAUUUCAAACAGAGGUCAUAUUUGGUUGGAGCUAAAUGGGUGAGGCAGUGUCGCCACGAGCACGGGGGAAAGCGGCCCCACUAGGCAGAGGGAAGGACGAACAGGAAGCUGGGGUGUAGCUCUGGUGGCUCCGGGGACAGAGGGAGAAGGAGCCACCUGAAAUGUACGGCGGUGCUGCCUGCCCACCACCCCUGCCCCUGCCUCCGGGGAGUAAUCCAUCCUCCACUCUGGAGCGCAUCUCCUGGGGUCCUCAUGCAGUCGUCAUCCUCACAGUGGUCCAUUCUCCUGGGCACACGAGGGCUUCGGUAAACAGAAGGAAUGGAAUAGGAUCCCCACCCUCCUUUUCCCAAAGUGUGUGUGUGUGUGUGUGUGUGUGUGUGUGUGUGUGUGUGUGUGUGUGUGUGUGUGUGUGUGUGUGUGUGUGUGUGUGUGUGUGUAAGAAAGAAUUUGGGGCCGAGGGAGGAGGAAACCAAGUUCGGGUUUAGAAAAAUUAGGAAGAAUACCCUCCCUUGGUUACUUCUGGAUCGCUGUUUGAUUAUUAGCAGCAGGUUUUGUUUCUUUUGACUACUCUGUUAAGUUGUAAUCUUCCAGAAGCAGACCCUGAGACGAGGAUUUUAAUGCGUGAGCUCUGGUUGAGGACCAAUGCCCGAAGUGCGCUGGGGACGUGGGGAGCUGGCCCAGGACGUGAGCGCCCGGAGGAGGCUGUGCGCAGCUGCACUCUCCGAGUCCGCAGGGCCGCGGAAGAAGCCGUGGUGGCCGGAGGGCUAUGCCCGGGGGCUACCCACCCUCCAGCCCUCAGCCCACCUCCACGCCCCUGGCAGGACCAGAGUGAAAGCCCCUUGCUCCAGGACGCCCCAGGUACCUGCUGCGUGGAGGACACGGGGAGGAACUGACAAAAGUGUCUUCUACAACCUUCUUUAUCAAACUUUUUGAUAUUAUCUGGAAAUGUGACUUUGAACUUCUCAUAGUCAAAAGGAAACUAUUUUCAUUUAGAAAAAAUAAAACAUGCCUGGUUGGGACUUCCCUGGCGGCCCGGUGGUGCAGACUUUGCCUUCCAAUGCAGGGGGUGCGGGUUCGAUCCCUGGUCGUAUAGCUAAGAUCCCACAUGCCUGGCGGCCAAAAAACCAAAACAUAAUACACAAGCAAUAUUGUAACAAGUUCAAUAAAAACUUUAAAAAUUGUCCACAUCAAAAAAAAAUCUUAAGAAAAAAUAUAUGCCUGGUUGUUGUUAUAUUCCCAGGGUUUCCUAAAGAAGACAGUGUCUGCAUUUACUCUGUGAUCUGAGCGAUAUGAAAGGGCUCG
Molecule: long non-coding RNA, 2775 nt
Organism: Lagenorhynchus albirostris (white-beaked dolphin)
Lineage: Eukaryota; Metazoa; Chordata; Mammalia; Artiodactyla; Delphinidae
Exons: 5
Source: RefSeq, a predicted model, not a curated record